CCUACGGGGGGCAGCAGUGAGGAAUAUUGGUCAAUGGACGAGAGUCUGAACCAGCCAAGUAGCGUGAAGGAUGACUGCCCUAUGGGUUGUAAACUUCUUUUAUAUGGGAAUAAAAUGUUCCACGUGUGGGCUUUUGUAUGUACCAUAUGAACAAGGUACGGCUAACUCCGUGCCAGCAGCCGCGGUAAUACGGAGGAUCCGAGCGUUAUGCGGAUUGAUUGGGUUUAAAGGGAGCGUAGGGGGAGCGUUAAGUCAGGUGUGAAAGUUAGCGGCUCAACCGUAAAAUUGCAGUUGAAACUGGCAGUCUAGAGUACAGUAGAGGUGGGCAGAAUUCGUGGUGUAGCGGUGAAAUGCUUAGAUAUCACGAAGAACUCCGAUGGCGAAGGCAGUUCACUGGACUGCAACUGACACUGAGGCUCGAAAGUGUGGGUAUCAAACAGGAUUAGAUACCCUGGUAGUC
This 460-nucleotide ribosomal RNA is filed under the name uncultured bacterium. RNAcentral describes it as "partial 16S ribosomal RNA". It matches the Rfam family "Bacterial small subunit ribosomal RNA", at positions 338 to 795 of the family's 1533-position model. The record is from RNAcentral.